Molecule: small nucleolar RNA, 70 nt
Organism: Betta splendens (Siamese fighting fish)
Lineage: Eukaryota; Metazoa; Chordata; Actinopteri; Anabantiformes; Osphronemidae
Gene: SNORD2
Product: small nucleolar RNA SNORD2
Source: Ensembl
GAGUGAAAUGAUGCUUCAUCUUUCGGGACUUACCCAACAAUGGGGACAAUUUUACAACCACUGAUCACUC